CAGCCGCCACGGGAAUACGUAGGUGGCAAGCGUUGUCCGGAAUUAUUGGGCGUAAAGGGCUCGCAGGCGGUUUCUUAAGUCUGAUGUGAAAGCCCCCGGCUCAACCGGGGAGGGUCAUUGGAAACUGGGAAACUUGAGUGCAGAAGAGGAGAGUGGGAUUCCACGUGUAGCGGUGAAAUGCGUAGAGAUGUGGAGGAACACCAGUGGCGAAGGCGACUCUCUGGUCUGUAACUGACGCUGAGGAGCGAAAGCGUGGGGAGCGAACAGGAUUAGAUACCCCUGUAGUCCCUGUCUCUUAUAC
Molecule: ribosomal RNA, 301 nt
Filed under: uncultured bacterium
Lineage: Bacteria
Description: partial 16S ribosomal RNA
Rfam family: Bacterial small subunit ribosomal RNA
Source: RNAcentral